This 496-nucleotide ribosomal RNA is filed under the name uncultured bacterium. RNAcentral describes it as "partial 16S ribosomal RNA". It matches the Rfam family "Bacterial small subunit ribosomal RNA", at positions 28 to 506 of the family's 1533-position model. The record is from RNAcentral.
GAUGAACGCUGGCGGCGUGCCUAAUACAUGCCAGUCGAGCGAACAGACGAGGAGCUUGCUCCUCUGACGUUAGCGGCGGACGGGUGAGUAACACGUGGAUAACCUACCUAUAAGACUGGGAUAACUUCGGGAAACCGGAGCUAAUACCGGAUAAUAUAUUGAACCGCAUGGUUCAAUAGUGAAAGACGGUUUUGCUGUCACUUAUAGAUGGAUCCGCGCCGCAUUAGCUAGUUGGUAAGGUAACGGCUUACCAAGGCGACGAUGCGUAGCCGACCUGAGAGGGGGACGGGCCAAAAUGGAAAUGAGACACGGUACAGACCCCUACGGGGGGCAGCAGUAGGGAAUCUUCCGAAAUGGGCGAAAGCCUGACGGAGAAACGCCGCGGGAGUGAUGAAGGUCUUCGGAUCGUAAAACUCUGUUAUUAGGGAAGAAAAAAUGUGAAAGUAACUAUGCACGUCUUGACGGUACCUAAUCAGAAAGCCACGGCUAACUACGU